RNAcentral lists this transfer RNA (66 nucleotides) under Sepiadarium kochi. RNAcentral describes it as "tRNA-Tyr". The record is from RNAcentral. Lineage: Eukaryota; Metazoa; Mollusca; Cephalopoda; Sepiida; Sepiadariidae.
UGUGAGGUGGUCGAGUAUAAGUCGGUAGAUUGUAAAUCUAUGUAUAAGUUUUGAACUUUCUCAUAA